GCCAUUGCUGAAAGCUUGUGUGAACUUAGCACUGAUCAGUAUGGAACAUAUUUUACUUGAUGGUGGAGCUCAUAAGGGAAGCUGAUGAGGUGUUUGAUGAAAUGCCCGAUAGGAAUAUUGUUUGCUCCAACAGAGUAAUCAUUUCUUACAACAAAAAAGGAUUAAUUUGUUUGCACUGUAUCUUCUUAGUGAUGAUGAUACUGCGUACUAAGCCUAUUUGGAGCUUUUGCAACUUGAAGUGGAGCUCAAGAUAGACAAAUUAAGAAGGUUUUAAACGUGCAAAUGAAGAUUCUAAGGUAUUUAAAAACUGUAACCCACUUGAAUGCAUCAUCUAAAUUGCUUCUCAUUAAAGAAAUUUCUAAAAGAUAUUGUGGCGAGACCUGACUGGGCAUGGCACUUGCUACGACUCUCAUUCCUCUAAUAACUCAUAGAGGUGAUCAAUUUUCUUCUCAUUCUCCCAUCCUGUUGCGCCUAGUGGAUCAAGCUCAUUCACCACACAUUUGAAGCGCUGGCCUUGACCGGGUCGAUCGUAUAUGUUGGCCAUACCCAUGGAGGUAAUAGUUACCAGACUUGCCUCUCAGAAGGACUUGACGAUCUUCUCUAUCAAGUGUGUCAGUGUUUAUACGAGCUCCUCUGACUAAACUCAUUGAUACUCGUUAUUCAUGCCAACUUCUCCUAUCAAAUUUGCCCAUGCUCAUUGAGCUCUUCUAUCGAGCUUGCCCACAACCAACGAGCUCUCCAACUAAGCUUGUCUGCAUCCAUGAAGCUACGUUAUCAAGUUCGGUCAACAGUCCUUCACAACAAGAAGAAGGAACUUCGUUCCAUCAUUGUCCAUGCCCAUUUAUUGAUUGCACGACGUCCACAUUUAGAAUCUUAUCAGCAACGAGUUUUGACAGGCUCUGUAUAGCACAACCUAUAAUAUUGCAUUUAUGUAUUAUUUGUAGCCCUAUGAGGGCAAGUAUAUUUUAGGAAAUACAAAUAUGUGGGAAAGGAAGAGGGCUCUCUCUCUCCUCUUCUUUCUCACCACCAUCAAUAACAACACAAUCUCUAAAAUCUUUAGCUCUUUUCUACUCCUUUCAUAAGGUUUCUCCCAAAUUGUAUCAACUCACGGACAAUACAAGAUCCUACAUCGUAAAAGGAUUCAACAGACUCAAACUUAAUCCUGGGAACUAGUUCAAUUUUAUAAAUCGUUCAAUUUUAGGAUCAACAUCACCCAAUUAGCCCGAAUGUGACUUAUCUAAUCCAAUUAACAGUGACCCAAAUACAAAUAGUGAUCAUAUCGAUUUUGAGUUGCUUUUUGGUAAUUUGGGUCAACUUGAACAUAACCCGAAUAAUAAUUUGGUCUAUAAUUUACGACGGGCAACUCAGAUAGUAAUGGUCAAUCUGAAUCAGAAAUUUUCUAAGUUGAUUUCAGGUCAGAUUGCUAGAUCAUGUCAUUGGCAUUCCUAUUACAUAUUCUAUUAUUAACAUUAGCC
Long non-coding RNA from Phalaenopsis equestris, 1475 nucleotides. RefSeq lists it as uncharacterized. NCBI's taxonomy places the organism in Eukaryota, Viridiplantae, Streptophyta, Magnoliopsida, Asparagales, Orchidaceae. The transcript is spliced from 5 exons. The record is from RefSeq and is a predicted model, not a curated record.